GUUAGGAAUAUUGGACAAUGGGCGCAAGCCUGAUCCAGCCAUGCCGCGUGAGUGAUGAAGGCCUUCGGGUUGUAAAGCUCUUUAGUCCACGAAUAUAAUGACUGUAGUGGAAGAAUAAGCCCCGGCUAACUUCGUGCCAGCAGCCGCGGUAAUACGAAGGGGGCGAGCGUUAUUCGGAAUCACUGGGCGUAAAGCGUGCGUAGGCUGUUUUGUAAGUCAGAAGUGAAAGCCCAGGGCUUAACCCUGGAAUUGCUUUUGAAACUACAAGACUCGAAUUCGGGGGAGGAUAGCGGAAUUGUCAGUGUAGCAGUGAAAUGCGUAGAUAUUGACAGGAACACCAGUGGCGCAAGCGGCUAUCUGGACCGAUAUUGACGCUGAGGCACGAAAGCGUGGGGAGCAAACAGGAUUAGAAACCCCUGUAGUCC
Molecule: ribosomal RNA, 425 nt
Filed under: uncultured bacterium
Lineage: Bacteria
Description: partial 16S ribosomal RNA
Rfam family: Bacterial small subunit ribosomal RNA
Source: RNAcentral